Molecule: ribosomal RNA, 383 nt
Filed under: uncultured eukaryote
Lineage: Eukaryota
Description: partial 18S ribosomal RNA
Rfam family: Eukaryotic small subunit ribosomal RNA
Source: RNAcentral
CAAUAGCGUAUAUUAAAGUUGUUGCAGUUAAAAAGCUCGUAGUUGGAUUUCUGGUAGGAGUGACCGUUCCGAACUUGAUUGUUCGUGUAUUGUGUUUUCUCCAGCCAUCCUUGUGGAGAACUUUUCUUGCAUUAAUUUGUAGGGAUUGGGACCCGCAUCGUUUACUGUGAAAAAAUUAGAGUGUUUAAAGCAGGCAAUCGCUUGAAUACAUUAGCAUGGAAUAAUAAGAUAGGACUUUGGUACUAUUUUGUUGGUUUGCAUACCAAAUUAAUGAUCAACAGGAACAGUUUGAGGAUAUUCGUAUGAACAUGUCAGAGGUGAAAUUCUUGGAUUUUGAUCAGACGAACUACUGCGAAAGCAUUUAUCAAGGAUGUUUUCAUUGA